CCUACGGGAGGCAGCAGUGAGGAAUAUUGGUCAAUGGACGGAAGUCUGAACCAGCCAUGCCGCGUGCAGGAUGACGGCUCUAUGAGUUGUAAACUGCUUUUGUACAAGGGUAAACCUGAAUACGUGUAUUCAGCUGAAAGUACUGUACGAAUAAGGAUCGGCUAACUCCGUGCCAGCAGCCGCGGUAAUACGGAGGAUCCAAGCGUUAUCCGGAUUUAUUGGGUUUAAAGGGUGCGUAGGCGGAUUGUUAAGUUAGUUGUGAAAUGUCCGGGCUUAACCCGGGAAUUGCCUCUAAUACUGUUGGUCUUGAGUGUAGGAGAGGUAGGCGGAAUGUAUGGUGUAGCGGUGAAAUGCUUAGAGAUCAUACAGAACUCCGAUUGCGAAGGCAGCUUACCAAUCUAUAUCUGACGUUGAGGCACGAAAGCGUGGGGAGCAAACAGGAUUAGAUACCCUGGUAGUC
Molecule: ribosomal RNA, 460 nt
Filed under: uncultured bacterium
Lineage: Bacteria
Description: partial 16S ribosomal RNA
Rfam family: Bacterial small subunit ribosomal RNA
Source: RNAcentral